UACGGAGGAUGCAGGCGUUAUCCGGAUUUAUUAGGUUUAAAGGGUGCGUAGGUGGCUAGGUAAGUCAGUGGUGAAAGUUUGCAGCUUAACUGUAAAAUCGCCAUUGAUACUGUUUAGCUUGGAUUUGGUAGAAGUAGGCGGAAUGUGUAGUGUAGCGGUGAAAUGCUUAGAUAUUACACAGAACACCGAUUGCGAAGGCAGCUUACUAUGCCACGAUCGACACUGAGGCACGAAAGCGUGGGGAUCGAACAGG
RNAcentral lists this ribosomal RNA (253 nucleotides) under uncultured bacterium. RNAcentral describes it as "partial 16S ribosomal RNA". It matches the Rfam family "Bacterial small subunit ribosomal RNA", at positions 524 to 776 of the family's 1533-position model. The record is from RNAcentral.